CUCCCCCCCCCCGCCAUGAUACUUUUCUCCAAGAUUUCUUGGCUUGAGGAACAUAGCAGACACUUUGCUUGACAUGUAAAUGCCCAAGAGACCUUUGCAGUGUGGUGCGGAGUGACCAAAUAAUUCCAGCUCCAGUCUGCAGUAUAUAGUUCAAACGACUUUCAGAGGUGAUUCAUUGAGUCUUGAUGCCUAAAGCAAUAAGGAGACCCCAAAGUGUCCAUCUACUGGCAUGCCUAAAGUUGACAUCUGAGGCUGUCCCUAGGCCUGUUGUUCUAUCCCUUGCCAGAGAAUNUCUGAAGCACUAAAAAUGGUGUUCAAAGCCCUAAAAAGAUUAUUUGAAGUGUUGCAGAUAUGUGCACUUUUUAUUGUUGUUCGGGAGUACAGCAUGUGGCUGGAGUUCACAAAUUAAGUGAAGGGGACCUCAAAUGAUCACCAACAGAGCAGCAGCUGAUGGAGACAAACAAGAGCCAUGCCGGAUAUACUGUCACCAUCAGAGACAUGCUGAGGCAUGCCACAGAUUUUUUUUUCUGUCNGGGCAUGUACACAAUUACAGAAUUUAUUUUUGCUUUACGCAUUGAACCUGCAUCCUAAGUCCUGCCUGGUUAAUGACAGAUUACAUCAGCAGACCUUAGUGCCAAUAUCUGAGUCACUGGAAAUUACCUCAACAGGUNCUAGCUGGGAAAAUGAUAUCCACUGAUGACUCAAAUUAGUCAACUGUGCUCUGAGAUGUCUGAAUGUCCACUAGAACGUUACUGACUGAAGGUNAGUAUAAGCAGCUGUCAGCUACUGUAUCACUACACAAAUGAGCUAAGUGCUUCUGAGUGAAAACAUUUAAAACUCAUAUAUGUGUUCACAGUUGCUUUGACUCUUCCAAUAGUCAAAUCUUCUGAAGAUGGAUAUCGUAGCUAUAUCUGAAAGCUUCGGUUCUCAGAAGGGUUAUGGAAGACGGCACAACAGCCCCNAAACGGCUACAAAUGAGANUGAAACUGGCAGUAAAAGCCUACACUGUACCAUUCACAUAUGUGCUCCAGGUCUCUCAUUUUAUCACCUAACUUUGAAAAAGAAGUUGCUGUUUUUGUUUUAUUCAAAUCUGAUAUGAGACCCAUAUAUAAAUUUACUAUCUCUUAACUAAAGGAAAAUGUGUGUGUGUGUGUGUGGGGGAGAGAGAGAGAGAGAGAGAGAGAGAAUAUUUGUGAAUGAGAUGGUGAAGAAGAGUCUGUCACUUCUUGUUAUAGGCAUGUUUUGCAUGGACACAGGAUAUACAUAGUGGGGACGACUCCUGGGCCAGAGGAAGCAUGGUGGAGGGCCAUCAGAU
This 1315-nucleotide long non-coding RNA is filed under the name Salvator merianae (Argentine black and white tegu). Its description in RNAcentral is "lncRNA (ENSSMRG00000007559.1)". The record is from RNAcentral. Lineage: Eukaryota; Metazoa; Chordata; Lepidosauria; Squamata; Teiidae.